AAAGAAUUAGUUAAAGUCAUAAUUUGAGUUUGUCAAGCUCGAGUUGCCUUUGUGGCAUUCUUUU
Molecule: transfer RNA, 64 nt
Filed under: Cuneopsis celtiformis
Lineage: Eukaryota; Metazoa; Mollusca; Bivalvia; Unionida; Unionidae
Description: tRNA-Asp
Source: RNAcentral